This 471-nucleotide ribosomal RNA is filed under the name Lodderomyces parapsilosis. RNAcentral's name for it is "eukaryotic LSU rRNA". The stretch from base 133 to 286 matches the Rfam family "5.8S ribosomal RNA". Lineage: Eukaryota; Fungi; Ascomycota; Pichiomycetes; Serinales; Debaryomycetaceae. The record is from RNAcentral.
UACUGCAUUUUUUCUUACACAUGUGUUUUUCUUUUUUUGAAAACUUUGCUUUGGUAGGCUACUGUAUGGGGCCUGCCAGAGAUUAAACUCAACCAAAUUUUAUUUAAUGUCAACCGAUUAUUUAAUAGUCAAAACUUUCAACAACGGAUCUCUUGGUUCUCGCAUCGAUGAAGAACGCAGCGAAAUGCGAUAAGUAAUAUGAAUUGCAGAUAUUCGUGAAUCAUCGAAUCUUUGAACGCACAUUGCGCCCUUUGGUAUUCCAAAGGGCAUGCCUGUUUGAGCGUCAUUUCUCCCUCAAACCCUCGGGUUUGGUGUUGAGCGAUACGCUGGGUUUGCUUGAAAGAAAGGCGGAGUAUAAACUAAUGGAUAGGUUUUUUCCACUCAUUGGUACAAACUCCAAAACUUCUUCCAAAUUCGACCUCAAAUCAGGUAGGACUACCCGCUGAACUUAAGCAUAUCAAUAAGCGGAGG